CUAGUCUAUCCCUACAGAGUAUAUACAAUGCAGGCAAAGUCCAAGUGUGUUACUCGUAAUCGAACAUCUAUAACCAAAUCGUAAUUCCUCCUAUAUUCUAACUUUCGCCCAUUUCUACCCCAAAUUUCACACGAUUUCCAACCUAUACUAACUCAAGAUACUCUACGGUAACAGGAAAUUCUCCCGAGUUUUAUUCUUUCCAAAAAAGAGAAAAGAACCAGGGAAGAGAACCGCCGACCCAGCUCAGCCCUCCGCCUUCGCCAUUUUCCACAAGGAGAGACCCGGAGAAACAGACUUUCCGCCUCCGCCACCAUGUUUGCUCUCAGGACCGCCGCUAGCAGGAUCGCCCAGGCCAACAACACGAUGGUGAUGGCCAAGAGAACAACUGUAAUCUCUGGACCCCCACAGAAUAAGAUUAGCACUAUUGAGAAGUCUCUUCAUGCUGUGGCCAUUAUGGCUGGAUUAUGCGCUAUCCCUGCUUGGGUCCUUGCAAACAUCAAGAACUACCGUGGCCGUGAGGAAUAAGGCAGACCGAAGAAAUAAACACCUUGUCUUGUAAAAUAGUGACAUUCACAACAUGGUUUAUAUAUCCUUCAUUCCAACCAAAAUGAAAAUUGUGGAAAAUCAUUUUGUAAAUAAUAAAUUAUAGAUAAAAUAAAA
Molecule: long non-coding RNA, 660 nt
Filed under: Penaeus japonicus
Lineage: Eukaryota; Metazoa; Arthropoda; Malacostraca; Decapoda; Penaeidae
Description: uncharacterized LOC122251974
Source: RNAcentral